UUAUUUCUUGUAUUUGAUUCAGACACAUAGACUGAUUAAGGCAUAAAAGCGGCGCCGAAGCGCCGAAGCACACUAUGCCUCCACGGUUUUGAAGGGUCGAAGGCCACGAAUGGCCAUUCAUUAAUGAUCCCUCCGCAGGUUCACCUACGGAGA
This 153-nucleotide unclassified non-coding RNA is filed under the name uncultured fungus. Its description in RNAcentral is "sequence contains ITS1". The record is from RNAcentral. Lineage: Eukaryota; Fungi.